GAUGAACGCGGCGGCGUGCCUAACACAUGCAAGUCGAGCGAGAAAUGAAGAGAAGAAACUUCGGUAGAUUUUCAUCAUGGAAAGCGGCGGACGGGUGAGUAACGCGUAGGCAACCUGCCCCGUACAGGGGGAUAGCCAUCGGAAACGAUGAUUAAGACCCCAUAAAGCGGAAUAUACACAUGUAAAAACCGUCAAAGAUUUAUCGGUAUGGGAUGGGCCUGCGUCUGAUUAGAUAGUUGGUAGGGUAACGGCCUACCAAGUCAACGAUCAGUAGCCGACCUGAGAGGGUGAACGGCCACAUUGGAACUGAGACACGGUCCAAACUCCUACGGGAGGCAGCAGUGGGGAAUAUUGCACAAUGGAGGGAACUCUGAUGCAGCAACGCCGCGUGAAGGAAGAAGGUCUUCGGAUCGUAAACUUCUGUCCAAAAGGAAGAAGGAAGUGACGUACUUUG
This 454-nucleotide ribosomal RNA is filed under the name Peptostreptococcaceae bacterium oral taxon 383. RNAcentral describes it as "bacterial SSU rRNA". It matches the Rfam family "Bacterial small subunit ribosomal RNA", at positions 28 to 482 of the family's 1533-position model. The record is from RNAcentral. Lineage: Bacteria; Bacillati; Bacillota; Clostridia; Peptostreptococcales; Peptostreptococcaceae.